Molecule: transfer RNA, 77 nt
Filed under: Candidatus Cloacimonadota bacterium
Lineage: Bacteria; Pseudomonadati; Candidatus Cloacimonadota
Description: tRNA-Arg
Rfam family: tRNA
About the family: Transfer RNA (tRNA) molecules are approximately 80 nucleotides in length. Their secondary structure includes four short double-helical elements and three loops (D, anti-codon, and T loops). Further hydrogen bonds mediate the characteristic L-shaped molecular structure. tRNAs have two regions of fundamental functional importance: the anti-codon, which is responsible for specific mRNA codon recognition, and the 3' end, to which the tRNAs corresponding amino acid is attached (by aminoacyl-tRNA synthetases). tRNAs cope with the degeneracy of the genetic code in two manners: having more than one tRNA (with a specific anti-codon) for a particular amino acid; and 'wobble' base-pairing, i.e. permitting non-standard base-pairing at the 3rd anti-codon position.
Source: RNAcentral
GCGCCCAUGGCUCAACUGGAUAGAGCACCUGACUACGGAUCAGGAGGUUAGGGGUCCGAAUCCUCUUGGGCGUGCCA